Molecule: unclassified non-coding RNA, 438 nt
Filed under: uncultured Thelephoraceae
Lineage: Eukaryota; Fungi; Basidiomycota; Agaricomycetes; Thelephorales; Thelephoraceae
Description: sequence contains ITS2
Rfam family: 5.8S ribosomal RNA (bases 1-155)
Source: RNAcentral
AACUUUUGACAAUGGAUCUCUUGGCUCUCGCAUCGAUGAAGAACGCAGCGAAAUGCGAUAAGUAAUGUGCAUUGCAGAAUUCAGUGAAUCAUCGAAUCUUUGAACGCACCUUGCGCCCCUUGGUUAUUCCUUGGGGCAUGCCUGUUUGAGUAUCAUGAACACCUCAACUCUCACGGUCUUCCGUGACGAGCUUGGACUUUGGGGGUUUGCUGGCCCUGCGGCCGGCUCCUCUCAAACAAAUCAGCUUGCCAGUGUUUGGCGGCAUCUCACGGGUGUGAUAACUAUCUACGCUCGCGGUUGUCUGCCAGGUAACCCUCAGCAAUGAAGGUUCAUUGGGGCUCAUAAACGUCUCUCCUCGGCGAGGACAGCUUUUGAACGUUCGAUCUCAAAUCAGGUAGGACUACCCGCUGAACUUAAGCAUAUCAAUAAGCGGAGGCU